Molecule: ribosomal RNA, 434 nt
Filed under: uncultured bacterium
Lineage: Bacteria
Description: partial 16S ribosomal RNA
Rfam family: Bacterial small subunit ribosomal RNA
Source: RNAcentral
AGCGAACGCUGGCGGCAGGCCUAACACAUGCAAGUCGAACGAACCUUUCGGGGUUAGUGGCGGACGGGUGAGUAACACGUGGGAACGUGCCUUUAGGUUCGGAAUAACUCAGGGAAACUUGUGCUAAUACCGAAUGUGCCCUUCGGGGGAAAGAUUUAUCGCCUUUAGAGCGGCCCGCGUCUGAUUAGCUAGUUGGUUGAGGUAAUGGCUCACCACGGCGACGAUCAGUAGCUGGUCUGAGAGGAUGAUCAGCCACAUUGGGACUGAGACACGGCCCAAACUCCUACGGGAGGCAGCAGUGGGGAAUAUUGCGCAAUGGGCGAAAGCCUGACGCAGCCAUGCCGCGUGAAUGAUGAAGGUCUUAGGAUUGUAAAAUUCUUUCACCGGGGACGAUAAUGACGGUACCCGGAGAAGAAGCCCCGGCUAACUUCGUG